CAACAUCAAGGACACUGACAUGGGGGCUAUACUAUAGUGUCACCCCCCAACACUAAAGAAUUCAGGAGGUUAGUUAUGAAGCUAAUCAGGGAGGGAACAGAGAAAGGCAAAGCCCAAUGCAAGGAAAUCCAAAACAUAAUACAAGAAGUGAGGAGAGAAAUAUUCAAUGAAAUAGAUAGCUGAAAGACAAAACGAUAAAAAAUUCAGGAAACUUUGGACACACUUUUAGAAAUGCAAAAUGCUCAGGAAAGUCUCAGCAAUAGAAUUGAACAGAUAGAU
This 279-nucleotide long non-coding RNA is filed under the name Pan troglodytes (chimpanzee). RNAcentral's name for it is "long non-coding RNA NONPTRT013066". The record is from RNAcentral. Lineage: Eukaryota; Metazoa; Chordata; Mammalia; Primates; Hominidae.